RNAcentral lists this non-coding RNA (30 nucleotides) under Mus musculus (house mouse). The record is from RNAcentral. Lineage: Eukaryota; Metazoa; Chordata; Mammalia; Rodentia; Muridae.
GGCAGGUUCAAAGGUCCAAUGAUGAGUGCU